Molecule: long non-coding RNA, 674 nt
Filed under: Equus asinus (donkey)
Lineage: Eukaryota; Metazoa; Chordata; Mammalia; Perissodactyla; Equidae
Description: lncRNA (ENSEASG00005028522.1)
Source: RNAcentral
CUGUAGGUGAGGUUGCGGGCAAGCGGGAGGCGGCAGCGAACGCUCUGCAGGACGCGCGGCCGCUCCUGGCCGGGGAAACGGAAGGCAGGAGGUUGCACCGCGUCCUACAAGUGGAAUCCAGCCCGGGUGGCCUCAAGCCCCUCGAUCCCUCCCCGGGCAGCUCAUCGUCUACCUCGCAGCAGCCGGGCUGCGCCCGGAGCCCACUCACCCUUAGCCAAAGGCGGCGCGGCGCCUUCGAGUUCUGCGGCACCCCGGGGACAGACGCAAGGCCCCGAGAAACCUGGGUGUUGCAAGUCUCAGGUCAGACUCCGAGGCGUCCCGGUCUAAAGAGGCGCUUUGUCUUUCACCUAAUUCAACAGACCCUGGAUUUCCCUGAGGGCGCAAUCCCGUCGGCGGAUCGCAGCCCUUCCCCGCCUCACCGUGCUUUCCCUGCGCUUCAAUCCAACCGGUCCCCCGCCCGACCGGUGGCUAUCCUCCGUCACCUCGUCGUCGUGGGCCUCCCUCUUGGGCCCCAAGAGGGGCCGCGGGAAUCUACAGCACCUCUGACACAACUCGCCGCCCGGCCUUUGCCCAGGCGCCGCGCCACCCGGCACGCACCAUGACCCUGCCAUUCGCCCGCCACACCGACGAGCAGAAACGCCCUAACAUCUGCUGAGAAAAUCCCUUCCCACGGC